AGACUGAUUAAGUAUUAGUAAGGAACCUAAAAAAGGCUAGUUACAAGUAGUAAGUCAAACUUUAUUGACUGUAUUACUUGUAAUGGGCUUCAUUAACGUCGGUUACUAAUGCUAGAUUGCUAUUUGCUAGCAGCCUAGCACGCACUUCUUUUUUUAUUUUUUUUUGUAAUUUUAUAAUUUUUUGUUUUAUUAGAUGUAGCCUUUCACUCCUCUACACUAAAUUCUUCAUUCCUAUUCUUUUUUUCCCAUUUUUACACACACCCGCUGUGAAACUCAACUAAUGCUGCUCCAAAUAUAACCCCUCUAAUGCUUUUCCAAAACUCAUUCAUCGAAGAUUAUCAUCAUGAACUUAAUCUUCCAAAAAAAUUAAGGUGAAUAGAUGAGUAUUAGAAGAGUCUUGAUCUUUUAUUGAGCUACAGUUUGGUUGAAAGUGCCCCUGUUGUCAAUGUUGAAGCGUCAGAUGAUGCUACUACUUGGACUGAGAGAUAUAUGGGGAUUAUUGUAGAGUUUGUUGGAAUUGCUCUUUGGAUACUACAUCAGGAGAGGACUUUGUAGAAGGCGACUUCUAGUUUCUAAAUCGGCCAACCGAAUUGUUUACACAAGGUUGACGUACAAAGGAGCUGAGCGAUUCAGUAAUCACGUCUGAAAGCAUGAAUUGUACUAGGAGCAACCCUAUAGUCGUUUAUGAGGAUGAGAAUGAUACUCGAAGUGAUGAUACUCUGGAGGCUAUGUAAAGAACUACUACACCAUCUAAACUUGAUGAGGAAGAUUGCCAGAGCAUAUAUGAGUUUAAGACAGCAAAGAAUAAAAAGCAUAAGAUUAAAACCUACAAUAGAAUUUUUCACGAGUAUACUCUUAUUGAAUUUCUAGAUGAUGAUGAUCUUGAAUGGCUACAACCACCACCUGAAGAUCAAAAUGUUGGGAAGAGAGCUACUAGAAAUCCGAAUUCGCUUUACAAGGUAAUAAUUAUUGAAGACUCAGAUGAUGAAAAUGAUCUUUAUUUUGAUGUUAAUAAUUAUAAUGAGAAGAAAGAUAAGAACUGCAAUGUGAUUCCUUGAGGAUUAUACUUGUUAGGGUGAAGUUAGCAUGAAUAAGGCAUUUUUCCAUUAAAAAUGGUUAUUAGAACCUCAUUAUAGUUUAAUUUAGAUAAUUGAAUUUUAAUAAGUAGCCAGAGCUAUAGAGUUGUUAUUUGGGAUUGAUACCUUUAUUUAAGUUAUAAUAAGAGUUGUUAUUUUAUUUUAAGAGCUUCAUUUUACUUUUAUUCGUGAGUAAGAACAAGUUUAAUUUUUGUGAUCAUAUACUUUUGGGAAGAAUUUCUUCGUCAUGAUUAAAUUUAGUAAGAAUGGCAUGGGAUGGGGAAUUAUUUUCUUAACUUUAUUUAAUCCUGUGUAUAAAUCAUGUUUAUAUUGUGUGAUUUUGCUUGGGAUAAGGGGGUGCAAUCUCAAAGUACCCUUUUGAACCAAUUUAUGUGGCAAAAUGUAACAUGGUGAUUCAAUGAAUAUGUGUGAAUGGUAUUUGGGUUUCAUUUAAAAUGGAGUGCAUAUUUAUUCUAUUUCAGGCGUAGAACUAGAAUGACUAAGAAUGCUGCCUUAGCUUAUGCUAUUCGUUUGUUGGCUGAAAAUCUGAACCAAAAUUGGGGUGACCAAACCGACCCCCAAGGAGAGAUGUUUAAGAAGAUGGCCCAACUUAGGCCACCAGUUUUAAAGGGAGGUGCUGACCCUACCUUCCUAGGAAGCUGGAUUUAAGAGUUUAACAAGUUGUCGUGGCACUCAACUGUCCAAAGGGUAUGAAAGUGGACCAGGCCGCUAUGUAUCUUAAGGAUGAAGCUGAUAUCUGGUGGAGGAUGGUGUGAGCGUUAGGGCCAAACCCAACUUUGGAUGGGAAGUUUUUAAGACCUCUUUAAGGGAUAAGUUUUACCCUCCAUUCCUAAUGAAACAGAAGGCUCAGGAGUUUAUAAGUCUGGAAAUGGGGGAAAUGUCAAUCUCUGAGUAUUAUAAUAAGUUUAUGACCCUUUCUAGGUUCGCUCCCGAGGUUGUACCAACUGAAGAAUUGAUGACUCAAAGGUUUGAGCAUGGAUUGACUAACUAGUUACAGAAAGACCUAGUCAGGAAAGUUUUUAAAACCCUCGACAAGGUAUAUAAAAGAGAUGCACACCAGUACCAUCUGAAUUCUAAAAGUGUAGGUGAGAGUUCUAAGGCUGGGGAGAAAAGGAAAGACUUUGGGGAAUCUAAGAACCAGAGUAGCUUUAAGAGGCCUAAGAAUGGGAACUCGUUUGAUAGGGGUAACCAAAAUGUUAGUAGUUCUUCUAGUGCUAAUAAUGGAGAGAGAACCUACCACUGUAAGAGGUGUAGGAGAAACCACCCUGGGAGAGAAUGUGAUGGGAAUUUGGUGACUUGCCGGUUCUGCAACAAAAAGGGGCACAUGGAAUAUGAGUGUUACACCAAGCAGAAACAACAAGGAAAUGGUAGGAAUUAUGGGAAUAUCCAACAGAGGCCUAACAAUUUUAACAACCAAAGGAAUAAGGGGAAUGGUCAGAAUGGGAAGUUUAGGAUUGGUAACAACAACAACAACUGAUCUAGCAACGGCAACAACAACAACAACAACAACAAUGGUUACCAAAACAACACUCCCGAGCGCUUUUAUGUGAUGAGCAAGGGAGAAGCUGAGAGGUCUUCGGAUGUAGUUAUUGGUACUUUUUCUAUUUGUCAACACUCUGUUUAACUCUGGAGCAGCUUACUCUUUCAUUUCUACUUCUGUUAUGCGCAAGUUAAACUUAACUGAAUCUAGUCAUGUUGAUGAGUUAGUCAGUCUGCCUAUGGGUAAACUUGUUCAUUGUAAUAAGAUAUUCAAAGGCUUGCCUUUGAAAAAUGGGAAGCUAUCUUUCCAUCGAAUCUUAUUGAGUUUAACCUAGGGGACUUAGAUGUAAUUCUGGGGAUGGAUUUGCUGAGUUCAUACAAGGCCAAGAUAGACUGUGAGAUGCAGAGGGUUUAGCUGAGUGAUCCUUACGGUAAGACAGUGUCCUAUAGACUUUUAGGGAAGCCUAAGGGUUUUGGGAUUAUUCCUACUUUGAAUGUCAAGAAACUAGUGAAUAAGGGGUAUUCGUUGUACUUUUGUUGUGUUCAAGAUUUGAGUAUGAGUGAGAUUAGGCGGAUGGAGGAUGUAUACAUUGUGAAUGAGUUUUAAGAUGCCUUUCUAGAAGAGAUUUCGAGAAUGCCACCUAAGAGCGAAGUUGAGUUUAACAUUGAUUUAGUUCUAGGAGUUGCACCUAUCUUAAAAGCACCUUAUAGAAUGGAACCAAUUGAGAUGAGUGAGCUAAAGGCUUAAUUACAGGAGUUGUUAGACAAGGGGUUCAUUAGGCUCAGUGCAUUACCUUGGGGAGCACCUGUUUUAUUUGUGAAAAAGAAGGAUGGGAGUUUGAGGCUAUGUAUUGAUUACAAAGAGUUGAAUAAUGUGACUGUGAAGAAUAAGUACCCUCUACCUAGGAUAGAUGACUUGUUUGAUCAGCUGAAAGGAGAAAGUGUGUUUUUGAAGAUCGAUUUGAGGUCGGGGUACCAUCAGUUGAAGGUUGCAGAUAAAGACAUUCCAAAGACCUCCUUUAGAACUCGGUAUGGGCAUUAUGAGUUUACAGUCAUGCCUUUUGGGUUAACCAAUGCACCAGCCAUAUUCAUGGACUUGAUGAACCGAGUGUUUGAUGAGUACUUGGAUAAUUUUGUAGUUGUGUUCAUUGAUGAAAUUUUGGUGUAUUCAAGGAAUGAGGAAGAACAUGCUCAGCACUUGAGAACUACCCUUGAAACUCUUAGGAAGAACAAGAUGUAUACUACGUUUUCUAAGUAUGAGUUCUGGUUAAAAAAUUUGCAUUUUUGGGGCAUGACAUUUCAAAGGAGGGUGUAUCUGUGGAUCCUGCGAAGAUCAAAGCGGUUAGUGAGUGGCCUACACCUAAGAAGGUGACUGAUUUUUGUAGUUUCUUGGGAUUAGUUGGGUAUUAUAGAAGGUUUGUUAAAGAUUUUUCGAGAAUAGCAAGACCCAUGACUACCCUUAUGAAGAAGUAGAGCAAGUUUGAGUUGAACGAAAGUUGUGAAUCAGCUUUUCAAACCCUCAAAGAGCAGUUGACCACUACACCAGUGCAAGUAUCGCCCGAUUGGAGAGAUCGAUUCGAAGUGUAUAGUGAUGCCUCAAAUUAUGGUCUGGGAUGUGUCCUGCAGCAGAAUGGAAGGGUGAUCGCAUAAGCAUCGAGACAAUUGAAGACACAUGAGGUCAAUUACCCUACGCAUGACUUGGAACUUGCAGAUGUUGUGUUCGCCAUGAAAAUUUGGAGACACUACCUUUACGACGUCUCUUGUAAGAUCUUCACAGAUCAUAAGAGUCUGAAGUACAUCUUCACCCAAGACAACUUAAAUAUGCGAGAACGUCAAUGGCUAGAGUUUCUCACGGACUACCAUGUCCACUUCCGGUACCACGAGGGAAAGGCGAAUGUUGUUGCAGAUGCUCUUAGCAGAAAUUCAAGUCAUAAUGUCAAUGAUUUAAUUGUGGCCAAUGAGUUGUGUGAGGAUAUGAGAAGAUUAAACCUUGAGGUUGUUAGUUAAGGAGAGUUAGAGGGAUUGCUGAGUGCCCUGACAAUCCAACCAUCCAUAUUUGAGGAGAUUAAAGUGAAGCAGUUGGAAGAUAAGUCGUUGCAGAAAAUCAGAGAUCGAGUAACUAGUGGUGUAGAGACUGGAUUCAAGAUUCAUGAAGAUGGGAGUCUGAGAUACAAGGAGAUAUAGUUCAUACCACAGAAGUGUGAGGAUAUAAGAAGAAAAGUCAUGGAGGAGUGUCAUAAUAUACAAUAUUCAGUUCACCCUAGGGGAGAUAAGUUGUAUAAGGAAUUGAAAGAGGUUUAUUGGUGGCCGAAUAUGAAGAGAUAGCUGGCUGAGUUUGUAUUAAAGUGUCUGACAUGCCAGAAGGUGAAUGUUGAAGCUUAAAGUUUUAAUGAUGAUAGACUUAAAUUCAAGCAAACUUAACUACAGAUUUCCUUAAGUGUUUGACUAAUAACAGGUGAAGUGGACCUUGGUGGUGGAAGAGUAUCCUUGAUUAAGAAGAACCUGAAGGGAAUACUUUAAGAAGGUUAAACAAGAUAAAAGAAGAUUUCCCUAACAAGAACUUAGUUCUCUAACAAGAACUAUUUAAGUUCCCUAGCAGGAACAUGAUCCUGGUCUGCGUGAAGCCCAAGCAAUCCUCGAGUGCAGAAUAAAACAGCGCAACAACUUAUUUAGUUAAGAUUUUAUCUUCUACAUUUGUUGUUAAAUAUGCUAAGUAGGGUUUGCACAAAACCUAUUAGAAGCGUGACAAA
Long non-coding RNA from Chenopodium quinoa (quinoa), 5326 nucleotides. RefSeq lists it as uncharacterized. NCBI's taxonomy places the organism in Eukaryota, Viridiplantae, Streptophyta, Magnoliopsida, Caryophyllales, Amaranthaceae. The record is from RefSeq and is a predicted model, not a curated record. The transcript is spliced from 4 exons.